GAUGAACGCUGGCGGCGUGCCUAAUACAUGCAAGUCGAGCGAACAGACGAGGAGCUUGCUCCUCUGACGUUAGCGGCGGACGGGUGAGUAACACGUGGAUAACCUACCUAUAAGACUGGUAUAACUUCGGGAAACCGGAGCUAAUACCGGAUAAUAUAUUGAACCGCAUGGUUCAAUAGUGAAAGACGGUUUUGCUGUCACUUAUAGAUGGAUCCGCGCUGCAUUAGCUAGUUGGUAAGGUAACGGCUUACCAAGGCAACGAUGCGUAGCCGACCUGGAAGGGUGAUAGGCCACACUGGAACUGAGCCACGGUCCAGACUCCUACGGGAGGCAGCAGUAGGGAAUCUUCCGCAAAGGGCGAAAGCCUGACGCAGCAACGCCGCGUGAGUGAUGAAGGUCUUCGGAUCGUAAAACUCUGUUAUUAGGGAAGAACAAAUGUGUAAGUAACCAUGCACGUCUUGACGGUACCUAAUCAGAAAGCCACGGCUAACUACGUG
This 497-nucleotide ribosomal RNA is filed under the name uncultured bacterium. Its description in RNAcentral is "partial 16S ribosomal RNA". It matches the Rfam family "Bacterial small subunit ribosomal RNA", at positions 28 to 507 of the family's 1533-position model. The record is from RNAcentral.